This is a long non-coding RNA of Tripterygium wilfordii, 502 nucleotides long. RefSeq lists it as uncharacterized. The transcript has 2 exons. Lineage: Eukaryota; Viridiplantae; Streptophyta; Magnoliopsida; Celastrales; Celastraceae. The record is from RefSeq and is a predicted model, not a curated record.
CAACUUUGGGCUAAGGGAGAGGGAGCCCAUUGAUUUACUAGGGAUUGGGAUAGCCGAAGAACCUGGACUCCGCAGCUGACUGCCCGGCGAAUUGUGCGGAUCGGAGCUCACCGGCGGUGGGGAUCGAAACGGUGAAUGCGAAUCGGCCGAAGCAGAUUGUCUCCACUCAAUUCUGCGGAUAGGGUAGCCCAGAAAUAGGCGAUUCCUGAUUUGCAGAGCACACAUUUGAGGACAGUAUCUUCCAACCCCGAACCUGACUUGCAAGGUCUUGACUUCGAUUCCCGUUAGGAGCAAUCCCUUGUAGUCAGUGCACUGGAUUUUGACCCAAUUCAUCUUGUAAAGUCGAAAACUUAUGUGGACGAGAGCCUGAUGGCCCGAUUACAUAUCCAUAUCAGAUGUCCAAUUGUAUGGUAUGAUUCUCGGUUAACAAAACAACAAUGAUCUUAAUUGUAUAGGCUUGUCAAUACUUGUGGAAAGAUAUUUUAUUGUAGCCUGUGGGUCA